CCUGCGAGUGGGAUCUCGAGGAGAAAGACAGCAGUGAUGAAGUUUUUAGGGAAUGCUCUGUGGAAAAGAUAGGAACUGAAGAGGAGGAAUUUUCCAAUUCUUCCUGUUGGAAAAACAACCCAUGCAGGUGUAAUUUAACCAUAUUUGUCCGAACCGGAAUUGACGAACGCAACACAAGGACGGUAUUCGACGAAACCUGACGAGGUUGACCGGUAACUUCACACCCAAAACACAGACUGGUAUAAAUGUGGAAAUUGCCAGCCAAUGCCUUCCCAGAGAGAAUGCCGCUGCUGUAAGAAAAUUAGAGAAACUGCCCAGAAGUUGGAUGGAACCGGCUUGGCCUUGCAUUGUUAAGACUUUCACCCAGUCUGCCUAAACCCAUUUGUAUUGGAGACAGCCUGGGAAUGGUGUUGGGGGCCUCUCGGCAAGAGCAACAGGGUUGUUAUACCAUCAUGUGCUGUGUAGAGAAUCCGAGCAGAAUUCCCACCCGCCACGACUUGAAGAUGAUGCUGUGUCCACAGGAUUUAUGCCCAGCUGAUGAACAUUAUGCUUGUCUUUGCAUGAAAGUAACGAGUGCGUGUUGCUCCUGGACUAAUAAUUGAUGGACAUUGCUUCCAUUAUGUGAGUUUCAACUCUAAAAUGCCUUUUGUUUUUGUUGUGCAAAAUUUGCCUUUCAAAUUGACUCUAAUUAGAGUAAGCAAAAUGGUUGAAGAAUUUGCAAUAUCAUCUGUAAGUAUCACAGCACUGAAAAGGUUUUCAAAACCAAGUUAUUUUUUUACUGCCACCUCACUUUGCUUUCACCAUGGAGGUCAUAUUUACAGAGGUUCACACAAGUUGAGAAAAGGACCAUUGAACAGACCAGACUAAUGCAUUACUUUUUUGCGUAACGCAACAUGACUGGUUUAUCAGCAUGCGUCAGAAGUUUGUAAUAUAAAACUUCUGCCGCUGAAGUUCCAUCAGGAUAGUAUUUAGUGUCUAUUUAACAAACCAGACACAGUUUUUAAAUCGCCUUCUUCAAAUUAGUUUCUUUUUUUCCCCCACAACAUUUCAUUUCACUGGCUUUGAUUUGAAAAUCUUGAAAAAUGAUAGCCAAGUCUUUGCUUGGUUUUGUGUACUGGCUGCUGAGAGGUGGUGGUGUUUGGGGGUCAGUCGAGGAAGUUGUUAGGUCUGCAUCCACAAAGAGGGUCCGGAGCUCUUAUAACAUGCGUUACACUUAUCCUGAAACAUGGAAAUUACAUUACUUCAUACAUAUGCAGAUACUGCUGUCCUGGUUUACUCCUUCAUCCUAUAGGUUAAAUGUGCAAGGGGCCAGUCUCAUAGUGAAAGUCUUUCUGAAAACUAGGUUGCUUACCUUGUUGGCGUUCAAAGUUAUUCUACUUCCGUGGACGAAUCAUUUGACAACGUCAAAUUUUUGUCAUGCUGUCCGAGUGUUCCUGACAUAAACUUGCCGUCAUAAAUGUUUUGUAUUUUACAUUUUUAGUAUGUCUUCUUUGUGACAUCAACAACUGAGUUUUAGCCUGAAUUUAACAGGUUUGAUAUUAUUACAGAGUAAUUGUAUUUACAAUGUUAUACUUUGAUAGGGUAUUUCUUUGUGUCAUUCUGCUUUUUUUUUGUUUGUACAAUCAAUGUACAAUCCUGCUUUAUCUUCUUCA
This is a long non-coding RNA of Syngnathoides biaculeatus (alligator pipefish), 1652 nucleotides long. RefSeq lists it as uncharacterized. The transcript has 2 exons. The record is from RefSeq and is a predicted model, not a curated record. Lineage: Eukaryota; Metazoa; Chordata; Actinopteri; Syngnathiformes; Syngnathidae.